RNAcentral lists this unclassified non-coding RNA (587 nucleotides) under Hevea brasiliensis (rubber tree). The record is from RNAcentral. Lineage: Eukaryota; Viridiplantae; Streptophyta; Magnoliopsida; Malpighiales; Euphorbiaceae.
AUUCUAUAACUGGUGCAAGGAUAUAGGUGUGUCAAGGUCGUCAGAAUACCCAGAAGUGUCGAGGAUUACAAGCAAGCUAUUAGAUACAUUGGAGGAGUUUGUGAGAGAUAGAGCUAAGGCGAUGAAGAGUCCUGAAAGGAAAGUAGAUAGCCAGCCAGCUCCACAGGGAGAGGAGCCAACACUGGAUAUGAAUGUAAUUAAAGCAUUGCCACCACCAGAGGAUUAUACUGCUCCACCGCCUCCUGAACUAGAGCCUCCUAAGCCUAAGCCUGUUAUUCAGGAGACCAGAGAUCUGGUGGAUUUGAGGGAGGAGGGUGUUACUGCCGAUGCUCAGGGGAAUAAAUUUGCCUUGGCAUUAUUUGCAGGACCAGGAACAAGUAAUGCUAAUGGGUCGUGGGAAGCAUUCCCAUCCAAUGGGGAACCUGAGAUUACGUCUGCUUGGCAGAAUCCAGCAGCUGAGAGUGGCAAGGCUGAUUGGGAACUGGCUUUGGUGGAGACAGCAAGUAAUUUGUCUAAGCAGAAGGCGGCAUUGGGUGGCGGUCUUGAUCCACUAUUGUUGAAUGGCAUGUAUGAUCAGGGUGUUGUUA